UUACCAAAAUAUACCUGGAUAUUUGUGCCGAUCCUUCUACCUAUACAUUGGGUUUUGCUUGUGGCACACAUCCCCUCACGAAGGGCAUGUGUUCUGGACUCAGCACAUAAUAACAACAAUGAGCUACUUAUUAGUUUUAGUAAACUUAUGGAAGAAACAGAACUUGGAGGCAAGUGGGAUGAAUUGAAGCUACAAUCAGCCAAGCAAACGGAUGGCCACAACUGCGGAUCGUUUGUUUUGAUGAAUGCUUUAGCAAUAAUCAACGAUACAGACCCUGCAUUGUUGACAACAAGCGAUGCUGAAAAAAUGCGUGUCCUUGUGAUGGGAAGGCUACUGGAGGAAUCAACGAAAAAAAAAUCAUAUUUUUACAAUUGAUUUUGAGACACAAGACAGAGAAUUGACAAUAGCGAACUUCAUCAAUCAGAUUUUCAAGACAGACACUCGUACAACCAUCCAUUUCUUGUCUACGCCUGGCUGUUUAAGAUUGAGAUAAUUUAACAAAUUUACAUAUCGUAUGUUUAAUGAAAGUUUUUUUUAAAUGCGGUAAUAUAUUGCAUUUUCAAGACAGACACUAUUCUAACAUUUGGCCUGUUCUUGUCCACUUUAUCAAAAUGUAGUACAAGUACAGUACAUUAUUUUGGUAAAGGGUUUUUAGAAUAUUAGAAUAGGACUAUUUGAUACAAACGUGUGAAUAUA
Anneissia japonica is the source of this 696-nucleotide long non-coding RNA. RefSeq lists it as uncharacterized. The transcript has 3 exons. Lineage: Eukaryota; Metazoa; Echinodermata; Crinoidea; Comatulida; Comatulidae. The record is from RefSeq and is a predicted model, not a curated record.